RNAcentral lists this ribosomal RNA (508 nucleotides) under uncultured bacterium. RNAcentral's name for it is "partial 16S ribosomal RNA". It matches the Rfam family "Bacterial small subunit ribosomal RNA", at positions 28 to 507 of the family's 1533-position model. The record is from RNAcentral.
GACGAACGCUGGCGGCGUGCUUAACACAUGCAAGUCGAGCGGGCCUUGUCCCCUUUUUUUUUGGGGGUGGGGUUAGUGGCGAACGGGUGAGUAACACGUGAGUAACCUGCCCCUCACUUCUGGAUAACCGCUUGAAAGGGUGGCUAAUACGGGGUGUUCUGGCCUGCUCGCAUGGGUGGGUUUGGAAAGAUUCGACCGGUUUUGGUUGUUUUGGUGGGGGAUGGGCUCGCGGCCUAUCAGCUUGUUGGUGGGGUGAUGGUCUGCCAAGGCUUUGACGGGUAGCCGGCCUGAGAGGGUGGGCGGUCACACUGGGACUGAGACACGGCCCAGACUCCUACGGGAGGCAGCAGUGGGGAAUAUUGCACAAUGGGCGCAAGCCUGAUGCAGCGACGCCGCGUGAGGGAUGGAGGCCUUCGGGUUGUGAACCUCUUUCGCCAGUGAAGAAGGUCCUGCUCUUUGUGGUGGGGUUGACGGUAGCUGGGUUAAUGAAGCGCCGGCUAACUACGUG